UUAGCUGUGGAUCGAGGAGGACGCCCAAGUUGCGGACCCUCUCCUUCCUCACAGGCCGUAGUAUCUGUUCUUAUUAGUUUAAUAUCUGAUAUGUUCUCUGUUUGGGAACUUUAUAUUAAAUGAGUUUUUGGACCUAGGUUUAAAAAAANNNUNAAAAAAAAAACCUUCCUCACAGAGUUGUUGUGAGGAUAAAAU
This 195-nucleotide small nuclear RNA is filed under the name Salvator merianae (Argentine black and white tegu). RNAcentral describes it as "U2 spliceosomal RNA (ENSSMRG00000018608.1)". The stretch from base 41 to 195 matches the Rfam family "U2 spliceosomal RNA". Rfam says of the family: U2 is a small nuclear RNA (snRNA) component of the spliceosome (involved in pre-mRNA splicing). Complementary binding between U2 snRNA (in an area lying towards the 5' end but 3' to hairpin I) and the branchpoint sequence (BPS) of the intron results the bulging out of an unpaired adenosine, on the BPS, which initiates a nucleophilic attack at the intronic 5' splice site, thus starting the first of two transesterification reactions that mediate splicing. The record is from RNAcentral. Lineage: Eukaryota; Metazoa; Chordata; Lepidosauria; Squamata; Teiidae.